Molecule: non-coding RNA, 177 nt
Filed under: Verrucomicrobiales bacterium
Lineage: Bacteria; Pseudomonadati; Verrucomicrobiota; Verrucomicrobiia; Verrucomicrobiales
Description: 6S RNA
Rfam family: 6S / SsrS RNA
About the family: E. coli 6S RNA was the first non coding RNA to be sequenced, but its function was unknown until recently. It consists of 184 nucleotides that fold into an extended hairpin structure with a large single-stranded internal bulge.
Source: RNAcentral
AACCCUGCCAUGUUCGUGAUUCGAAACAAAGUCCUUGAACCGUAAUUAAACGAAUCCGGAGCCUUGACUUCGCUGAGCGGCCGACAGGCCUUGAUUGGAAGUCGAAAGCCGCCGAUUGGGCUCCACCUGUUCCAGGAAGUUCAAAGGAACUGUUACACACGGCAUUACGGUGGGGUU